AGGGUGAUCUGGAUUCAGCGGCGGACGGGUGAGUAAUGCCUAGGAAUCUGCCUGGUAGUGGGGGAUAACGUCCGGAAACGGGCGCUAAUACCGCAUACGUCCUGAGGGAGAAAGUGGGGGAUCUUCGGACCUCACGCUAUCAGAUGAGCCUAGGUCGGAUUAGCUAGUUGGUGGGGUAAAGGCCUACCAAGGCGACGAUCCGUAACUGGUCUGAGAGGAUGAUCAGUCACACUGGAACUGAGACACGGUCCAGACUCCUACGGGAGGCAGCAGUGGGGAAUAUUGGACAAUGGGCGAAAGCCUGAUCCAGCCAUGCCGCGUGUGUGAAGAAGGUCUUCGGAUUGUAAAGCACUUUAAGUUGGGAGGAAGGGCAGUAAGUUAAUACCUUGCUGUUUUGACGUUACCAACAGAAUAAGCACCGGCUAACUUCGUGCCAGCAGCCGCGGUAAUACGAAGGGUGCAAGCGUUAAUCGGAAUUACUGGGCGUAAAGCGCGCGUAGGUGGUUCAGCAAGUUGGAUGUGAAAUCCCCGGGCUCAACCUGGGAACUGCAUCCAAAACUACUGAGCUAGAGUACGGUAGAGGGUGGUGGAAUUUCCUGUGUAGCGGUGAAAUGCGUAGAUAUAGGAAGGAACACCAGUGGCGAAGGCGACCACCUGGACUGAUACUGACACUGAGGUGCGAAAGCGUGGGGAGCAAACAGGAUUAGAUACCCUGGUAGUCCACGCCGUAAACGAUGUCGACUAGCCGUUGGGAUCCUUGAGAUCUUAGUGGCGCAGCUAACGCCGAUAAGUCGACCGUGGGGAGUACGGCGCAGGUUAAAACUCAAUGAAUGACGGGGGCUCGCACAGCGGUGGAGCAUGUGGUUAAUUCGACACGCGGAAGAACUUACUGGCUUGACAUGCUGAGACUCAGAUGGAUGGUGCUUCGGAUCAGAACAG
Molecule: ribosomal RNA, 939 nt
Filed under: Pseudomonas sp. WR17
Lineage: Bacteria; Pseudomonadati; Pseudomonadota; Gammaproteobacteria; Pseudomonadales; Pseudomonadaceae
Description: bacterial SSU rRNA
Rfam family: Bacterial small subunit ribosomal RNA
Source: RNAcentral